Molecule: ribosomal RNA, 253 nt
Filed under: uncultured bacterium
Lineage: Bacteria
Description: partial 16S ribosomal RNA
Rfam family: Bacterial small subunit ribosomal RNA
Source: RNAcentral
UACAGAGGCCACAAGCGUUAGACGGAAUCACUGGGCUUAAAGCGUGUGUAGGCGGGAUGGUAAGUACUUUGUGAAAUCCCACAGCUUAACUGUGGAAAUGCUUGGUAUACUGCCGUUCUUGAGUCACCUAGGGGCAGCUGGAACAGAUGGUGGAGCGGUGAAAUGCAUAGAUAUCAUCUGGAACGCCAAUGGUGCAGACAAGCUGCUGGGGGUGUACUGACGCUGAGGCACGAAAGCCAGGGGAGCAAACGGG